CCUACGGGUGGCAGCAGUGGGGAAUAUUGGGCAAUGGGCGCAAGCCUGACCCAGCAACGCCGCGUGAAGGAAGAAGGCUUUCGGGUUGUAAACUUCUUUUAAGAGGGAAGAGCAGAAGACGGUACCUCUUGAAUAAGCCACGGCUAACUACGUGCCAGCAGCCGCGGUAAUACGUAGGUGGCAAGCGUUGUCCGGAUUUACUGGGUGUAAAGGGCGUGCAGCCGGGAAGACAAGUCAGAUGUGAAAUCCCGCGGCUCAACCGCGGAACUGCAUUGGAAACUGGCUGUCUUGAGAUGUCGAGAGGUAUGCGGAAUGCGCAGUGUAGCGGUGAAAUGCUUAGAUAUUGCGCAGAACUCCGAUUGCGAAGGCAGCAUACCGGCGGCGAUCUGACGCUGAGGCACGAAAGCGUGGGUAUCGAACAGGAUUAGAUACCCCAGUAGUC
Molecule: ribosomal RNA, 442 nt
Filed under: uncultured bacterium
Lineage: Bacteria
Description: partial 16S ribosomal RNA
Rfam family: Bacterial small subunit ribosomal RNA
Source: RNAcentral